Molecule: unclassified non-coding RNA, 229 nt
Filed under: uncultured fungus
Lineage: Eukaryota; Fungi
Description: sequence contains ITS1, 5.8S rRNA gene
Rfam family: 5.8S ribosomal RNA (bases 181-229)
Source: RNAcentral
UCUCCGUAGGUGAACCUGCGGAGGGAUCAUUACCGAGUGAGGGUUCCGGCCCGACCUCCAACCCCCUGUCUUCCGACUCUGUUGCCUCGGGGGCGACCCGGCCCUCCUGGGCGUCGGGGCCCCCGGUGGUCCAUCUCAACCCUGCAUCUGUGCGUCUGAGUCGAAAUAUAAAUCAAUCAAAACUUUCAACAACGGAUCUCUUGGUUCUGGCAUCGAUGAAGAACGCAGC